AUGUCGGAUGUUCAGAAAGUGACGUCACCCAAAAUUUUUUUCUCUUGACGUCAUCGAUCUAAAAUCAGCUAGUUGAAUUCCUCAGUCUGGGAACAACCGCGCAAUAGAGCGGGCGGAUGAGAAUCGCGCUCCGCAGAUUUCGAGUGCCGGGUUCUCUACCUCCUGGAUCCUGCGCUCCGGGUCCGCUUCCUGGUACAACUCGACAUCCAGGAAAAGCGCUCCGUAGUUUCUGCGCUCAAGGUCCACUACCAGCAGGAACUUGACUUCCAGGACAAGUGCUCCGUAGUUCUGGCUGUCCAGGCCCACUACCUGCAGGAACUAGACUUGCAGGUCAAGCGCUCCGUGUGUCCUGCGCUUCAGGACGAACGCUGCGUGGUUCCUGCGCUCCAGGUUCACUACCUGGUGAAACUCGACUUCCAGGACGAACGCUCCGUGGUUUCUGCGCACCAGGUCCGCUACCUGGUAAAACUCAACUUCCAGGACAAGCGCUCCGUAGCUUCUGCGCUCCAAGUCCACUACCUAAUGAAACUCGACUUCAGGGACAUGUGGUGAAUAAGGAGGAAGAGGACGAGGAUUUCUGCUCAGUAUAACCCGAGGUGAUUGGAGGUGGUUGGAGGUGGCCGGAGGUGAACGAGGAGGAGGACGAGGAAGACAAGGAGAACGAGUUGGACGACAAGGACGAGGAUUUGUGCUCGGUACAACCCGAGGUGGUUAUCGGUGGUUGUUC
RNAcentral lists this long non-coding RNA (727 nucleotides) under Neodiprion pinetum (white pine sawfly). RNAcentral's name for it is "uncharacterized LOC124221208". The record is from RNAcentral. Lineage: Eukaryota; Metazoa; Arthropoda; Insecta; Hymenoptera; Diprionidae.